CGGGGUGCAGCAGGCGCGAAAACUUUGCAAUACACGAAAGUGUGACAGGGCUAUCCCGAGUGCCAUCCGCUGAGGAAGGCUUUUACCCAGUCUAGAACGCUGGGGGAAUAAGGAGAGGGCAAGUCUGGUGUCAGCCGCCGCGGUAAUACCAGCUCUCCGAGUGGUGUGGAUGUUUAUUGGGCCUAAAGCAUCCGUAGCUGGCUAAGUUAGUCCCUUGUUAAAUCCACCGAAUUAAUCGUUGGAUUGCGGGGGAUACUGCUUGGCUAGGGGACGAGAGAGGCAGACGGUAUUUCCGGGGUAGGGGUGAAAUCCUAUAAUCCCGGGAAGACCACCAGUGGCGAAGGCUGUCUGCUAGAACGCGCCCGACGGUGAGGGAUGAAAGCUGGGGGAGCGAACCGGAUUAGAUACCCGGGUAGUCCCAGCUGUAAACGAUGCAGGCUAGGUGUUUGGACGGCCACGUGCCGUUCUAGUGCCGCAGGGAAGCUGUUAAGCCUGCCGCCUGGGGAGUACGAUCGCAAGAUUGAAACUUAAAGGAAUCGGCGGGCGAGCA
This 550-nucleotide ribosomal RNA is filed under the name uncultured archaeon. RNAcentral's name for it is "bacterial SSU rRNA". It matches the Rfam family "Archaeal small subunit ribosomal RNA", at positions 326 to 878 of the family's 1478-position model. The record is from RNAcentral.